GUGCUUGCUUCGGCAGCACAUAUACUAAAAUUGGAACAGUACAGAGAAGAUUAGCAUGGCCCCUGCGCAAAUAUCGAAGGACUUCUCACACUGUAGAACUUCUAAAUAACUGU
Molecule: small nuclear RNA, 113 nt
Filed under: Suricata suricatta (meerkat)
Lineage: Eukaryota; Metazoa; Chordata; Mammalia; Carnivora; Herpestidae
Source: RNAcentral